CAAGGAGAGAGAAGAGGAAGUCUUGCAUUAGGGAGUUGGGGGUUGGGUUUCUGUGUGUUUUCAGAGAAACAACCUCAGCUUCCAGGUUUCUAGAGGGGUUCCCCAUCCUCUGCUCAGUUCAGCCCCAGGCAGGCAGAACCGUGCCCAAGCCUCCCUCCUGAGCUCCCGCAUAUGCUUUCUUGCUAAAUGACUCUUGCUCCAUCGUCUCCUCACAGGGUACAUCUGCUGGGUGCCUCUCGUCCUCAACUCGGCUUUCAUCUUUUCGGAUCUCAACACAUUGUUUCCUCCAGUCCUGGUGCCAGGGUGGAAGGGAGCCAUCAAGCCCGGCCGCGCUCUGGGACUGGCAGCGAACGAAUGACUGGCAGCGGGCAUCUCUGUCAGCGCUUUGGCAUGCCGCAGAGUAGAAGCCCCACGCUAAUGAAUGCCAUCUACACCUACCAGAUGUGCCACUGGGUGACAUGCCAGAUCUUUUACAUAAUGCCAUUCUGCCGGACCCGAGACAGCUGGGGAUUCCAAAAAGGAAAACUGUUUAGAAGGUUAAAGGAAAAAUCCCACUGAGAACAGCUGAAAUGAAAAGGGGUUCCACAGCCCCAGCUCGUCCCGCUCUUCUCUACUCUCCAAGUGCAAGGGUGAGCUACCCACGCCCUAUCCCUUCCUCAGCCUCUCUGGUUCCGACCUCCUCCACUGCCCACCGGAGCCUGGGGAACGUUUAUCCUCAAGGGUGCGAGAGAGCCUGUCACUUUCCGUUCCACGUUCUGGCUGAAGUAGUUGUCUUGGGGUGGAGGUGUCCAAACCCUCCUGCCAUUUGGAACGGAGUGUUUCCUGGAGAGGGAUGGAUGAGGUGGGAGGAAGGGGAAAUAAGAAAACUGCUUCUGGCCAACAAGGGUGUGCGCGCCUGUAAGACAGUUUCCAAGCUCGGGUCCCAGCCCUCCACUCCCAGGGGGACAGGAGCUGGGGACCGGGGGAGGCGGCCUAACACGUCCCCAGCAUCCUCUCCACACCUGGCAACCGGGCCUGCCCGGGAUCCGGAGGACUCAUGGGGACCACCUCUGCGCCUCCUCCCAAGGGCCGCACCCCUCCCACGCCCCCUGCGGGGCCCUAGGGCCUCCCCUCCCCUCCCGCGUAGAGUCUCCGGCCAGCCAAGGGGCCCCGCGCCUGCCCGGUCCUCACAGCCCACCCCGCCCCGCCGCCUGGGCUCCAGAUGGCGGCGCAGCGAGAGCGGCACGCAGGGUCCCCUCCUCCCGCCCAGCUGCCUCUGCGUUGACCUGGCUGCUCAGCACUGCAGGCCGGCGCCUGUCUGACCGGGAGGGGGCGGUGUGCCCCGGGGGACGCAGGUUUCCUGCCUUCCCUCUCUCUUGCACCCUCAUAUUCUUGAGGGUUCUACGGGCCGGAGACGAUGUGAAUGUGGCCCCUCUGCGAAGAUACAGAUACACAAGGAAAACCAAAGCUAUUCAGGCUCCUCAUUUGUCCGGCAGCUAACAGUGGGGCCCUUUCUCUGCGGCUGCUUCCCUGCCUAGGCAGCAGCAGUUAUGGUAGAAGCAGAUGGCUACUGAUUGGGGGAGCUUUGUGGCUCUAAUACUGAAUACUUUAUGGAAAAGGACUUUAUCAUGCUUCGUUGGGCAGGGGAACAACGGGAUGAGAUUUACAGCCAGAAAAAAAUAAAUCUUUUUCCAAGUUGUG
This is a long non-coding RNA of Heterocephalus glaber (naked mole-rat), 1680 nucleotides long. The record is from Ensembl. Lineage: Eukaryota; Metazoa; Chordata; Mammalia; Rodentia; Bathyergidae.